GAUCAACGCUGGCGGCGUGCCUAAUGCAUGCAAGUCGAGCGGGGUGCUCGGAAACGGGGACUUACGCGGCGGACGGGUGCGUAACACGUGGGCAACCUGCCCUGGGGUGGGGGAUAGCCGUGGGAAACCGCGGGUAAUUCCGCAUACGUUCAUCUUCCGGCAGGGAGGGUGAAGAAAGGGAGCAAUCCCGCCCGAGGAGGGGGCUGCGGCCGAUUAGCUAGUUGGUGGGGUAAGGGCUUACCAAGGCGAUGAUCGGUAGCUGGUCUGAGAGGACGGCCAGCCACACGGGGACUGAGAACGGCCCCGACUCCUACGGGAGGCAGCAGCAAGGAAUCUUCCGCAAUGGGGGCAACCCUGACGGAGCAACGCCGCGUGGGGGAUGACGCGCUUCGGCGUGUAAACCCCUUUCAGCAGGGACGAAAAUGACGGUACCUGCAGAAGAAGCCCCGGCCAACUACGUGCCAGCCGCCGCGGUAAC
This 478-nucleotide ribosomal RNA is filed under the name uncultured bacterium. Its description in RNAcentral is "bacterial SSU rRNA". It matches the Rfam family "Bacterial small subunit ribosomal RNA", at positions 28 to 524 of the family's 1533-position model. The record is from RNAcentral.